Molecule: ribosomal RNA, 468 nt
Filed under: uncultured bacterium
Lineage: Bacteria
Description: partial 16S ribosomal RNA
Rfam family: Bacterial small subunit ribosomal RNA
Source: RNAcentral
GACGAACGCUGGCGGCGUGCUUAACACAUGCAAGUCGAACGGAAAGGCCCUGCUCUUGUGGGGUGCUCGAGUGGCGAACGGGUGAGUAACACGUGAGUAACCUGCCCUUGACUUUGGGAUAACUUCAGGAAACUGGGGAUAAUACCGGAUAGGAGCUCCUGCUGCAUGGUGGGGGUUGGAAAGUUUCGGCGGUUGGGGAUGGACUCGCGGCUUAUCAGCUUGUUGGUGGGGUAGUGGCUUACCAAGGCUUUGACGGGUAGCCGGCCUGAGAGGGUGACCGGCCACAUUGGGACUGAGAUACGGCGCAGACUCCUACGGGAGGCAGCAGUGGGGAAUAUUGCACAAUGGGCGGAAGCCUGAUGCAGCAACGCCGCGUGCGGGAUGACGUCCUUCGGGUUGUAAACCGCUUUCGCCGGUGACGAAGCGUGAGUGACGGUAAUGGGUAAAGAAGCACCGGCUAACUACGUG